UACGAAGGGGGCUAGCGUUGCUCGGAAUUACUGGGCGUAAAGCGCACGUAGGCGGCUUUCUAAGUCGGGGGUGAAAUCCUGGAGCUCAACUCCAGAACUGCCUUCGAUACUGGAGAGCUUGAGUCCGGGAGAGGUGAGUGGAACUGCGAGUGUAGAGGUGAAAUGCGCAGAUAUCAGGAAGAACACCUAUGGCGAAGGCAGCUCUCUGGGACGGUACUGACGCUGAGACGCGAAAGCGUGGGGAGCGAACAGG
This 253-nucleotide ribosomal RNA is filed under the name uncultured bacterium. Its description in RNAcentral is "partial 16S ribosomal RNA". It matches the Rfam family "Bacterial small subunit ribosomal RNA", at positions 524 to 776 of the family's 1533-position model. The record is from RNAcentral.